Molecule: ribosomal RNA, 482 nt
Filed under: uncultured bacterium
Lineage: Bacteria
Description: partial 16S ribosomal RNA
Rfam family: Bacterial small subunit ribosomal RNA
Source: RNAcentral
GACGAACGCUGGCGGCGUGCCUAACACAUGCAAGUCGAACGGAACUGUUUUGAAAGUUUUCUUCGGAAUGAAUUUGAUUUAGUUUAGUGGCGGACGGGUGAGUAACGCGUGAGUAACCUGCCUUCAAGAGGGGAAUAACAUUCUGAAAAGAAUGCUAAUACCGCAUGACAUAUCGGAACCACAUGGUUUUGAUAUCAAAGAUUUUAUCGCUUGAAGAUGGACUCGCGUCCGAUUAGUUAGUUGGUGAGGUAACGGCGCACCAAGACCGCGAUCGGUAGCCGGACUGAGAGGUUGAACGGCCACAUUGGGACUGAGACACGGCCCAGACUCCUACGGGAGGCAGCAGUGGGGGAUAUUGCGCAAUGGGGGCAACACUGACGCAGCAACGCCGCGUGAAGGAUGAAGGUUUUCGGAUUGUAAACUUCUUUUAUUAAGGACGAAAAAUGACGGUACUUAAUGAAUAAGCUCCGGCUAACUACGUG